AAAACAUAACCUUUAGCCAAACAAAUAUUAAAGGCAACGCCUGCCCAGUGAACAAUUAAACGGCCGCGGUACCCUAACCGUGCAAAGGUAGCAUAAUCAUUUGUCUACUAAUUAUAGACCUGUAUGAAAGGCAAAAUGAGGGUCUAGCUGUCUCUUGUGGUCAAUCAAUUAAACUGAUCUCCCAGUAAAAAAGCUGGAAUAACUACAUAAGACCAGAAGACCCUGUGAAGCUUAAACUAAACUAUUAAACCAAAUAAUAGAUACUUUCGGUUGGGGCGACCUUGGAAAAAAAAAGAACUUCCAAUAAUACCUACUAUAUAGGUACCCCAGGCCCACAAGCCAACUAAUGACCCAGCACAGCUGAUAAUUGAACCAAGUUACUCCAGGGAUAACAGCGCAAUCUUCUUCAAGAGCCCAUAUCAAAAAGAAGGUUUACGACCUCGAUGUUGGAUCAGGACAUCCUAAUGGUGCAGCCGCUAUUAAGGGUUCGUUUGUUCAACGAUUAAUAGUCCUACGUGAUC
RNAcentral lists this ribosomal RNA (521 nucleotides) under Boiga ceylonensis. RNAcentral describes it as "partial 16S ribosomal RNA". It matches the Rfam family "Bacterial large subunit ribosomal RNA", at positions 1810 to 2605 of the family's 2925-position model. Lineage: Eukaryota; Metazoa; Chordata; Lepidosauria; Squamata; Colubridae. The record is from RNAcentral.